AAGAUCCCAGGAUACCAAAAGGCUCUGUGGGAACAUACCUUUGUGGAAUGUCUCCCAUCUCCUGAUACCUGAGGUGCAGUAAACAAGGUGAUAGAAUGAAUGCCAGGGAACUGAAGCAAGUAAAGUUAGAUUUGGUGUUACAAUUUGUGGCCCAGAUUUGGAAGUCUAUGAACUACCCAUCCCAGGGCUCUCAGUAAUCCCAUCAUCCAUUUCAUUAACACUCUUUGUACUCUGCUAAACACUUGAUACAGAUGUAAUUUUAAUGAAUCUUCAUGGCCUUAUGAAUGGUCAAAUAGGGCCUUCUAAACCUCUGGAGAAGUGAGAUCUGAAUUUGGAGAGGACAUGGGGAAGAAUCAAUCAUCAACAGAUAAUCUUUAAGUCCAGACCCAGGAAUAUCAGAUCUGAAGUGACACCAUCUUUUCUGUCUUCUGACAAACCUCAUCAACCCCAAAAGUUCCUGUUGCAAGGAUCCAAGAAAACUCAGUAAAGAUCUCUUUGGAAUCACUUUGUUGUGACAAAAUUGAUUCAGUGACUCUCCUAUUAUUUGUAAAAAAUCUGCUAAAGAAAACAACAACAUCAGUGAUUAAAGCUACACUGAAAUGAAACUUUAUAUGCUAAUUAUCUUCAAGAGCCCCUCCUAAAAUAAAAGGGCUUGUUAGGCUACUAGAAAUACAUUAUAAAGUAAGAUAAUCACCUAUCUGUGUAAACACAUAUAAUUCUAAACUUAAAAUACAUUACAGUUUAUAUAUCAUGAAAUGUAGUUAGUUUCAAAAAUUAUAUCCCAAAUCUGUAGUUCAGGUUAUAAAUAAAAAGAUGUGGGUACAAAGAAGACGUUACGUGUAAGACCAAUAUUUUAACAAGAUAAUCUAGUUAUUGCUUAGUGUAAUGUGACAUUUGCCUUUCUUUUUUUCACUGUAUAUACCAGUCACAAAUCUUGAUUAUUAAUAUUAAUGAGGCUCCCUUUUAAGUCUGUUGCUUUAAGAAAAAACAGAAGUGGUAUUACUUCCAUGGUGGUAUAUAUUCACAGAUCACAGACAACCAAGAAGAAUGUGUCAAGUCACAUUUCCUUCUCAAUUUAGCAAUGUAACCUAAUAGGCAGAAUAAGCUUCUGUUAAACAUUUAUUCUUGUUAUUAAUACAUAAUACCAUGCUUCUCAGUUUUCAAAUUUCAAGACAAAAUUCAACUAAGUAUUGAAUGAAACAACUGUUAACAUGUUUAAAAAAGCUUUCAUGGGAAAAUGAAAUGUUUGAUGAUAUUUUAACCUGAAGAUACAUAUACAUACAUUUCUCAACCAUAUUAAUCUUACAGCCAUAUUAUUUGCAUAUUGUGAAUAUAUUUGUAGUUUUGGUUAACUGCAUAGUCAACUCAAUAUUAUCAUCAUAAUCAUUGUUUCAUCUGCAAUAUCAAGAUGUAUAUAUUCAGAAAUGGUUAUUUUGUUUUUAUGCCAAUGCUUUCAAAUGUUUUAAUAGGGAGUUGCAUAAAGAGAUCUAACUUAAGAGCAUAUUUAAGAGCAGAUGCAGAAUUUAAGUCAUUUAACAUCUCUAGAUAUAAAGCAGGAUAAUAACAUGAAUAUUCUAAUAAUUAGACUAAAAAUCAGAAAAAGGUAAUUAAAAUGUGAUACUGGGUACAGGGGUGAGAAGAGAGAUGAGAAAUCCACUAAAGACUUCAAAUUCAUAAGAAUUCAUCUGCUUUAAGAGAAAUAAACAAACUUAGAGAAGUGUUACAGUCUAAAAACCAAAAACUAUAGCCAGUUUCUUCUAGAAAUAUGAACAAGUAUAUAGAAUUGCAG
RNAcentral lists this long non-coding RNA (1789 nucleotides) under Bos taurus (domestic cattle). RNAcentral describes it as "long non-coding RNA NONBTAT002671". The record is from RNAcentral. Lineage: Eukaryota; Metazoa; Chordata; Mammalia; Artiodactyla; Bovidae.